Amylocystis lapponica is the source of this 101-nucleotide non-coding RNA. NCBI's taxonomy places the organism in Eukaryota, Fungi, Basidiomycota, Agaricomycetes, Polyporales, Postiaceae. The record is from the annotation of a GenBank genome assembly.
GCCGAGAUAGCUCAGCUGGGAGAGCAACAGACUGAAGUUCCGGCUUCCAAAUCCUGGUCGAAGAAUUCUGGAGGUCGCGUGUUCAAUCCACGCUCUUGGCA